RNAcentral lists this ribosomal RNA (501 nucleotides) under uncultured bacterium. Its description in RNAcentral is "partial 16S ribosomal RNA". It matches the Rfam family "Bacterial small subunit ribosomal RNA", at positions 30 to 523 of the family's 1533-position model. The record is from RNAcentral.
AUUGAACGCUGGCGGCAGGCUUAACACAUGCAAGUCGAGCGGAGAUGAGGUGCUUGCACCUUAUCUUAGCGGCGGACGGGUGAGUAAUGCUUAGGAAUCUGCCUAUUAGUGGGGGACAACAUUCCGAAAGGAAUGCUAAUACCGCAUACGUCCUACGGGAGAAAGCAGGGGAUCUUCGGACCUUGCGCUAAUAGAUGAGCCUAAGUCGGAUUAGCUAGUUGGUGGGGUAAAGGCCUACCAAGGCGACGAUCUGUAGCGGGUCUGAGAGGAUGAUCCGCCACAAUGGGAAUGAGACACGGCCCAGACUCCUACGGGAGGCAGCAGUGGGGAAUAUUGGACAAUGGGGGAAACCCUGAUCCAGCCAUGCCGCGUGCGUGAAGAAGGCCUUAUGGUUGUAAAGCACUUUAAGCGAGGAGGAGGCUACUGAGACUAAUACUCUUGGAUAGUGGACGUUACUCGCAGAAUAAGCACCGGCUAACUCUGUGCCAGCCGCCGCCGUAA